RNAcentral lists this ribosomal RNA (506 nucleotides) under uncultured bacterium. RNAcentral's name for it is "partial 16S ribosomal RNA". It matches the Rfam family "Bacterial small subunit ribosomal RNA", at positions 29 to 523 of the family's 1533-position model. The record is from RNAcentral.
AGUGAACGCUGGCGGUAGGCCUAACACAUGCAAGUCGAACGGCAGCACAGGAGAGCUUGCUCUCUGGGUGGCGAGUGGCGGACGGGUGAGGAAUACAUCGGAAUCUACUUUUUCGUGGGGGAUAACGUAGGGAAACUUACGCUAAUACAGCAUACGACCUACGGGUGAAAGCAGGGGAUCUUCGGACCUUGCGCGAUUGAAUGAGCCGAUGUCGGAUUAGCUGGUUGGCGGGGUAAAGGCCCACCAAGGCGACGAUCCGUAGCUGGUCUGAGAGGAUGAUCAGCCACACUGGAACUGAGACACGGUCCAGACUCCUACGGGAGGCAGCAGUGGGGAAUAUUGGACAAUGGGCGCAAGCCUGAUCCAGCCAUACCGCGUGGGUGAAGAAGGCCUUCGGGUUGUAAAGCCCUUUUGUUGGGAAAGAAAUCCAGCUGGUUAAUACCCGGUUGGGAUGACGGUACCCAAAGAAUAAGCACCGGCUAACUUCGUGCCAGCAGCCGCGGUAA